GAGGCAUCACUCCUGGCUAAAGUGUC
RNAcentral lists this non-coding RNA (26 nucleotides) under Homo sapiens (human). Lineage: Eukaryota; Metazoa; Chordata; Mammalia; Primates; Hominidae. The record is from RNAcentral.